UACGUAGGGUGCGAGCGUUGUCCGGAAUUAUUGGGCGUAAAGAGCUCGUAGGCGGUGUGUCACGUCGAUCGUGAAAACUUACAGCUUAACUGUGAGCGUGCGGUCGAUACGGGCAUCACUGGAGUUCGGCAGGGGAGACUGGAAUUCCUGGUGUAGCGGUGAAAUGCGCAGAUAUCAGGAGGAACACCGGUGGCGAAGGCGGUUCUCUGGGCAUUACCUGACGCUGAGGAGCGAAAGUGUGGGGAGCGAACAGG
RNAcentral lists this ribosomal RNA (254 nucleotides) under uncultured bacterium. RNAcentral describes it as "partial 16S ribosomal RNA". It matches the Rfam family "Bacterial small subunit ribosomal RNA", at positions 524 to 776 of the family's 1533-position model. The record is from RNAcentral.